CCUACGGGAGGCAGCAGUAAGGAAUAUUGGUCAAUGGAGGCAACUCUGAACCAGCCAUGCCGCGUGCAGGAUGAAGGCCCUAUGGGUCGUAAACUGCUUUUACACAAGAGAAAACCCCGGUACGUGUACCGGAUUGAUAGUAUUGUGAGAAUAAGCAUCGGCUAACUUCGUGCCAGCAGCCGCGGUAAUACGAAGGAUGCAAGCGUUAUCCGGAUUCAUUGGGUUUAAAGGGUGCGUAGGCGGACCUGUAAGUCAGUGGUGAAAUCUCUUUGCUUAACAAAGAAACUGCCAUUGAUACUGCAAGUCUAGAGUAUAGAUGACGUUGGCGGAAUAUGACAUGUAGUGGUGAAAUACUUAGAUAUGUCAUAGAACACCGAUUGCGAAGGCAGCUAACGAAACUAUAACUGACGCUGAGGCACGAAAGUGCGGGGAUCAAACAGGAUUAGAUACCCUGGUAGUCCGCACCGUAAACGAUGAUUACUCGUUGUUGGCAAUAUGACCGUCAGCGACCAAGCGAAAGCGAUAAGUAAUCCACCUGGGGAGUACGCCGGCAACGGUGAAACUCAAAUGAAUUGACGGCUGAGACGNGCGACGGACGACGACGAGGGGAGGAGG
RNAcentral lists this ribosomal RNA (615 nucleotides) under uncultured bacterium. RNAcentral describes it as "bacterial SSU rRNA". It matches the Rfam family "Bacterial small subunit ribosomal RNA", at positions 338 to 959 of the family's 1533-position model. The record is from RNAcentral.